This 742-nucleotide ribosomal RNA is filed under the name uncultured bacterium. RNAcentral's name for it is "bacterial SSU rRNA". It matches the Rfam family "Bacterial small subunit ribosomal RNA", at positions 8 to 796 of the family's 1533-position model. The record is from RNAcentral.
AGAGUUUGAUCAUGGCUCAGAACGAACGCUGGCGGCAGGCUUAACACAUGCAAGUCGAACGAUGUAGCAAUACAUAGUGGCGCACGGGUGAGUAACGCGUGGGAAUAUACCUUAUAGUGGGGAAUAACUUUGGGAAACUAAAGCUAAUACCGCAUACGCCCGAGAGGGGAAAGAUUUAUCGCUAUAAGAUUAGCCCGCGUGAGAUUAGGUAGUUGGUGGGGUAAUGGCCCACCAAGCCUACGAUCUCUAGCUGGUCUGAGAGGAUGAUCAGCCACACUGGAACUGAGACACGGUCCAGACUCCUACGGGAGGCAGCAGUGGGGAAUAUUGGGCAAUGGAGGAAACUCUGACCCAGCCAUGCCGCGUGGAUGAUGAAGGCCUUAGGGCUGUAAAGUUCUUUCGCCGAUGAAGAUAAUGACGGUAGUCGGAGAAGAAGCCCCGGCUAACUUCGUGCCAGCAGCCGCGGUAAUACGAAGGGGGCUAGCGUUGUUCGGAAUUACUGGGCGUAAAGCGAGCGUAGGUUGCUCGAUAAGUCAGUGGUGAAAGCCCAGAGCUCAACUCUGGAACUGCCAUUGAAACUGUCGAGCUGGAAUCUCAGAGGGGGUAGCGGAAUUCCAAAUGUAGGGGUGAAAUCCGUAGAUAUUUGGAGGAACACCGGUGGCGAAGGCGGCUACCUGGAUGAGUAUUGACACUGAGGCUCGAAAGCGUGGGGAUCAAACAGGAUUAGAUACCCCGGUAGUCC